GAUGAACGCUGGCGGCGUGCCUAGUACAUGCAAGUCGAGCGAACAGACGAGGAGCUUGCUCCUCUGACGUUAGCGGCGGACGGGUGAGUAACACGUGGAUAACCUACCUAUAAGACUGGGAUAACUUCGGGAAACCGGAGCUAAUACCGGAUAAUAUAUUGAACCGCAUGGUUCAAUAGUGAAAGACGGUUUUGCUGUCACUUAUAGAUGGAUCCGCGCCGCAUUAGCUAGUUGGUAAGGUAACGGCUUACCAAGGCGACGAUGCGUAGCCGACCUGAGAGGGUGAUCGGCCACACUGGAACUGAGACACGGUCCAGACUCCUACGGGAGGCAGCAGUAGGGAAUCUUCCGCAAUGGGCGAAAGCCUGACGGAGCAACGCCGCGUGAGUGAUGAAGGUCUUCGGAUCGUAAAACUCUGUUAUUAGGGAAGAACAAAUGUGUAAGUAACUAUGCACGUCUUGACGGUACCUAAUCAGAAAGCCACGGCUAACUACGUG
This 497-nucleotide ribosomal RNA is filed under the name uncultured bacterium. Its description in RNAcentral is "partial 16S ribosomal RNA". It matches the Rfam family "Bacterial small subunit ribosomal RNA", at positions 28 to 507 of the family's 1533-position model. The record is from RNAcentral.